Molecule: non-coding RNA, 73 nt
Organism: Stegodyphus mimosarum
Lineage: Eukaryota; Metazoa; Arthropoda; Arachnida; Araneae; Eresidae
Source: Rfam
GCCUUCGUGGUGUAGUGGUCAGCACGCUCGGCGCGUAUUCGAGAGGCCUUUGGUUCGAGCCCAUGUGAGGGCA